This 470-nucleotide long non-coding RNA is filed under the name Lathyrus oleraceus (garden pea). Its description in RNAcentral is "Pisum sativum (pea) long non-coding RNA (PSAT_LNC032926)". Lineage: Eukaryota; Viridiplantae; Streptophyta; Magnoliopsida; Fabales; Fabaceae. The record is from RNAcentral.
UCAUGUUUAAGAAUUUCAAUUUAGUCAUGGUUAAACUAUGGGAAAAUAUAAAUUUACUCUAUUUAAUCAUAAAUUAACUAUGAUGAAUGUAUAGAGUAACCUUAUUUAGCCAUCAUAUAAAUAUGGGAAAAUUUUAAACUCUUUAGUACACCUUACAAUACUCUUUAACAAUCAGUCAUAAGCUUCUUUAUGAGUCGUACCCCUUUCAAUAAUGGAUAAGCGAGCAUCAACUUUGUCUGCAAGAAGUUGCAAGUGUUUUGGGCUUUGAAAAUAAAAACAUUUAAAUAGAAAAUUUGAAGCGUUCUAUACUGAUGUUAAAAAAGUUAGUUGAUUUGUUUGAACUCACAGUUCGACUUGAAUCUUUAUAAAGAAAUGACCUAAAUUUUAGAAAUUUGAUUUCUUUCCCAUACAAUACAACAUAAUGUAAUCGGUUAGGCUGUUUAAAUUCAAAUUGGUCCAUUAAAAACUAU